RNAcentral lists this ribosomal RNA (888 nucleotides) under Glossilus juniperensis. RNAcentral describes it as "Leipothrix juniperensis partial large subunit ribosomal RNA". It matches the Rfam family "Eukaryotic large subunit ribosomal RNA", at positions 366 to 944 of the family's 3401-position model. Lineage: Eukaryota; Metazoa; Arthropoda; Arachnida; Trombidiformes; Eriophyidae. The record is from RNAcentral.
AAAUAGAACUUUGUAGAGAGAGUUAAGAGGGCGCGAAACCGUUAAUUGGCAAACGAAUCGGAGCCACGAAGUCGUUUCGUUGAAUUAGUCAAUACAAGUUCAGCUUAGUAUGGCAACACCAUACUGGGUGUAUUCUUGAGUUUUGACCAAUAAACAUUGUAAACGUACACUGCAACCAGUUAGACAAUUGACAAUGGGCACAGUCAAGUUAGUAGUAGUGCAGUUGUAAUUUAUUUUACUACUUGUGUUGCUGGACUUGUGAUAAGUGAACUAUAGUCAAAUACUGACUGGCAAAAUAAAAAUCAUUUUCUCCGGAAAGUGUUAGUAUAGAAUGCAACUAUCCAUUUGAAUGCCUACACUCUUCAACCAUAGAGUUUUAAGCUCAGCAUUUUUGAAUUUGGACUUGCUUGCUACCAAUGGGGCAACUCUUGGUGCUUGUAUAGCUUUCAUCUAAUCGGGUGUUGACUUGAUUUUAUGUUCGUUUGGAGGUGCUAUGAUUGGGUGUUGAAAUGAGAUUAGUUUGCCAUUUCAUUUGCAGUGAGUAGGUCGGCUUUCCGAACGACCCGUCUUGAAACACGGACCAAGGAGUCUAAUUAGGCAUCAAGUCGAUCAGUCUUGAAUAGGCUAGACUAGUAACUACUGGCUGAGAAGGCGUAGAGACAUGUGAUCAUUUGAGCACCAACAGCUCUUAUGCGCAACAUGUGCCUGCUCAAUAUAGUAAGUGUUUUUACUGAUUACUGGGCGGAGUAAAGAGAUGCCUGAUUGGUACCCGAAAGAUGGUGAUGCUUGGGCAAAUUGAAGCCAGAGGAAACUCUGGUGGAGGAUUUAGCUGACGUGCAAAUCGAUCGUCAGACCUGAGUAUAGGGGCGAAAGACUAAUCGAACCAUC